This 406-nucleotide long non-coding RNA is filed under the name Homo sapiens (human). RNAcentral's name for it is "non-protein coding PCF11-AS1:12". The record is from RNAcentral. Lineage: Eukaryota; Metazoa; Chordata; Mammalia; Primates; Hominidae.
ACUCCAAAUUAAUAUAGUGUUUAUAGCCACUUACAUAAUAAUGAGGGUGUUGCUAUGCUUUCCUCUGUACAAGCUGGUGGUGUAUCAAUUCGUUCUUCCUUAACUUUGGGACUGUCACAGGGUUCCUGCAAUUCGUUUUUGACAAUGUUCAACAUAAUAUUCAAGGGGUUUUCAACUGGUGUCUUGCUGGGAGAUGGUGUACAAUCAAAUGAAGAUGUCUACAAAAUGAAAGGCCCUAUGAGUACUGAUGAAAGUUCAAAAUUCUCACAUUAAAUAACAUUUAGUCUUGUAAGACCCUUGUAUGAACAAGAGAACACACAUACAACCAAAUGCAAAUGAAACACCUGCCUCCCAACAAAAUGUGCCAUAAAGACAACCAGAAAUAAAAUAUAUAUUGCACGUUCAA